CAAUCAAUUAUUGAAGGGAACAAUUCUUUAUUUUGUAUACUAACAAAAGAUUUUAAGUGAUGUAACUUGAGACAUUAAAUAGGAAAAAAUUAGUUUAAUAACAAAGCAAUAAGGUUAAUCAUUCGGUACUUACAGAUGAAAGUGUAUAGAGAUAAUCACUAUUUUCUUCCCCAUUUUUUCGGUCGUUAUUUAUGCUGACAAAUCGAUUAUAGAGCGUUACGGAUGUACUUUAAUCAUCGACAAUAUUUAACAAAUUAAAUAACGAAGAUUUCCAUAAGCUGGUUUAAGUCACGUGAUUCGAUUGGGAUAUUUAAAGCCAAUUACAUGACUUUUUACUCGUCAUUUGCGGGCGAAAGUCUAAAGGAUAAAUUAAACAAUUUACAAAAUGGCUCUCUUCAAUUUCUUAUGCUUAAAUUUAAUAAUUUUCAUCAUAUUUUCUGAUACUUCUCAUGGCUUUAAGAAUCCCCCAUUCGAUGUGCAAAAAUUUAAAGAUGUUUGGGAGCUUUCAACAUCACUUGAUAAUCAUCACGUGAUUCGUAAAGGAGGAAGGACUCCGUCGCUUCGUCUCCGUUUCGGACGUAGAGCUGUCACUCCUUUCAUUUCACCAUUAAAAAUUCACUAAUUAUUAAAUACAUUCCAUUGCUAAUUAAUUAAAAAAAUAUCAAAAAUAAUUUCUUUAAUUAAUCUUAUUAACAAAGAAAAUACAUUUAAAAAAAUAUAUGAAAAAA
Molecule: long non-coding RNA, 728 nt
Filed under: Centruroides sculpturatus (bark scorpion)
Lineage: Eukaryota; Metazoa; Arthropoda; Arachnida; Scorpiones; Buthidae
Description: uncharacterized LOC111627658, transcript variant X1
Source: RNAcentral